AUUGAACGCUGGCGGCAUGCUUUACACAUGCAAGUCGAACGGUAACAGGCCGCAAGGUGCUGACGAGUGGCGAACGGGUGAGUAAUGCAUCGGAACGUGCCCAGUCGUGGGGGAUAACGCAGCGAAAGCUGUGCUAAUACCGCAUACGAACUAUGGAUGAGAGCGGGGGACCGUAAGGCCUCGCGCGAUUGGAGCGGCCGAUGUCAGAUUAGGUAGUUGGUGGGGUAAAGGCUCACCAAGCCAACGAUCUGUAGCUGGUCUGAGAGGACGACCAGCCACACUGGGACUGAGACACGGCCCAGACUCCUACGGGAGGCAGCAGUGGGGAAUUUUGGACAAUGGGCGCAAGCCUGAUCCAGCAAUGCCGCGUGCAGGAAGAAGGCCUUCGGGUUGUAAACUGCUUUUGUACGGAACGAAAAGGUUUGGGUUAAUACCCUGGGCCGAUGACGGUACCGUAAGAAUAAGCACCGGCUAACUACGUGCCAGCCGCCGCCGUAA
RNAcentral lists this ribosomal RNA (498 nucleotides) under uncultured bacterium. RNAcentral's name for it is "partial 16S ribosomal RNA". It matches the Rfam family "Bacterial small subunit ribosomal RNA", at positions 30 to 523 of the family's 1533-position model. The record is from RNAcentral.